CCUACGGGUGGCAGCAGUGAGGAAUAUUGGUCAAUGGACGAGAGUCUGAACCAGCCAAGUAGCGUGAAGGAUGACUGCCCUAUGGGUUGUAAACUUCUUUUAUAUGGGAAUAAAAUGUUCCACGUGUGGGAUUUUGUAUGUACCAUAUGAAUAAGAGUCGGCUAACUCCGUGCCAGCAGCCGCGGUAAUACGGAGGAUCCGAGCGUUAUCCGGAUUUAUUGGGUUUAAAGGGAGCGUAGGUGGAUUGUUAAGUCAGUUGUGAAAGUUUGUGGCUCAACCGUAAAAUUGCAGUUGAAACUGGCAGUCUUGAGUACAGUAGAGGUGGGCGGAAUUCGUGGUGUAGCGGUGAAAUGCUUAGAUAUCACGAAGAACUCCGAUUGCGAAGGCAGUUCACUGGACUGCAACUGACACUGAGGCUCGAAAGUGUGGGUAUCAAACAGGAUUAGAUACCCUAGUAGUC
This 460-nucleotide ribosomal RNA is filed under the name uncultured bacterium. Its description in RNAcentral is "partial 16S ribosomal RNA". It matches the Rfam family "Bacterial small subunit ribosomal RNA", at positions 338 to 795 of the family's 1533-position model. The record is from RNAcentral.